RNAcentral lists this transfer RNA (72 nucleotides) under Terrestrivirus sp. RNAcentral's name for it is "tRNA-Leu". The record is from RNAcentral. Lineage: Varidnaviria; Bamfordvirae; Nucleocytoviricota; Megaviricetes; Imitervirales; Mimiviridae.
UACUGAAUAUGAGAUUUGAACUCAUCUAAACGGGUUCUAAGUCCGUUACCUAAACCACUAGGCUAAUUCAGC